UACGAAGGGGGCUAGCGUUGCUCGGAAUUACUGGGCGUAAAGAGCGCGCAGGCGGUCGUUCAAGUCGAGUGUGAAAGCCCCCGGCUCAACUGGGGAGGGUCACUCGAUACUGAUCGACUCGAAGGCAGGAGAGGGAAGUGGAAUUCCCGGUGUAGUGGUGAAAUGCGUAGAUAUCGGGAGGAACACCAGUGGCGAAGGCGACUUCCUGGCCUGUUCUUGACGCUGAGGAGCGAAAGCCAGGGGAGCAAACGGG
This 253-nucleotide ribosomal RNA is filed under the name uncultured bacterium. Its description in RNAcentral is "partial 16S ribosomal RNA". It matches the Rfam family "Bacterial small subunit ribosomal RNA", at positions 524 to 776 of the family's 1533-position model. The record is from RNAcentral.